GUUUGAUCCUGGCUCAGGACGAACGCUGGCGGCGUGCCUAAUACAUGCAAGUCGAGCGAGUCUGCCUUGAAGAUCGGAGUGCUUGCACUCUGUGAAACAAGAUACAGGCUAGCGGCGGACGGGUGAGUAACACGUGGGUAACCUGCCCAAGAGAUCGGGAUAACACCUGGAAACAGAUGCUAAUACCGGAUAACAACAGAUGAUGCCUAUCAACUGUUUAAAAGAUGGUUCUGCUAUCACUCUUGGAUGGACCUGCGGUGCAUUAGCUAGUUGGUAGGGUAACGGCCUACCAAGGCGAUGAUGCAUAGCCGAGUUGAGAGACUGAUCGGCCACAUUGGGACUGAGACACGGCCCAAACUCCUACGGGAGGCAGCAGUAGGGAAUCUUCCACAAUGGACGCAAGUCUGAUGGAGCAACGCCGCGUGAGUGAAGAAGGGUUUCGGCUCGUAAAGCUCUGUUGUUGGUGAAGAAGGACAGGGGUAGUAACUGACCUUUGUUUGACGGUAAUCAAUUAGAAAGUCACGGCUAACUACGUGCCAGCAGCCGCGGUAAUACGUAGGUGGCAAGCGUUGUCCGGAUUUAUUGGGCGUAAAGCGAGCGCAGGCGGAUUGAUAAGUCUGAUGUGAAAGCCUUCGGCUCAACCGAAGAACUGCAUCAGAAACUGUCAAUCUUGAGUGCAGAAGAGGAGAGUGGAACUCCAUGUGUAGCGGUGGAAUGCGUAGAUAUAUGGAAGAACACCAGUGGCGAAGGCGGCUUUAUGCGUUGU
RNAcentral lists this ribosomal RNA (766 nucleotides) under Vibrio cholerae. Its description in RNAcentral is "bacterial SSU rRNA". It matches the Rfam family "Bacterial small subunit ribosomal RNA", at positions 11 to 737 of the family's 1533-position model. The record is from RNAcentral. Lineage: Bacteria; Pseudomonadati; Pseudomonadota; Gammaproteobacteria; Vibrionales; Vibrionaceae.